Molecule: transfer RNA, 77 nt
Filed under: Deltaproteobacteria bacterium CG_4_8_14_3_um_filter_45_9
Lineage: Bacteria; Deltaproteobacteria
Also listed under: 1 other name
Description: tRNA-Met
Rfam family: tRNA
About the family: Transfer RNA (tRNA) molecules are approximately 80 nucleotides in length. Their secondary structure includes four short double-helical elements and three loops (D, anti-codon, and T loops).
Source: RNAcentral
CGCGGGGUGGAGCAGUCCGGUAGCUCGUCGGGCUCAUAACCCGAAGGUCGCUUGUUCAAAUCAAGCCCCCGCUACCA